RNAcentral lists this unclassified non-coding RNA (123 nucleotides) under Streptomyces scabiei. The record is from RNAcentral. Lineage: Bacteria; Bacillati; Actinomycetota; Actinomycetes; Kitasatosporales; Streptomycetaceae.
GACGGCGCAGAAGGGGAGUAGCUCUUCGCCGGACCGUCGACAUACUGCUCAGCUCGUCUGAGCCGGCGCCCGGAGGCAGGUUCCGUGGAAGCGGAACCCGCCAGCGAGACCUUCGGCAAAGCA